This 1279-nucleotide long non-coding RNA is filed under the name Equus caballus (horse). RNAcentral's name for it is "lncRNA (ENSECAG00000046865.1)". The record is from RNAcentral. Lineage: Eukaryota; Metazoa; Chordata; Mammalia; Perissodactyla; Equidae.
AGAUUUUUCUCUAUGUUUGAGUAGGUCUACCUAAAAGGUAGAAAUUCUAUGUUGUGUCAAAAUAAUUUCCUAUGUUCAAGAAGAUGAGGUCUCUAUAUUCGGACAACUAAGGGUUUUGUUUAACUGUUUAACUCUCUGUUUGCCUUUAUUAUCUUCUGUUGUCACUUUGGUUAAAUGGAUAGCUAAGCAUUAUUUCACAGUGACCUAUGAUCCUAUUUGACCAAGUGUUUUAUAAACUUUUGAUAGUUUUGAUAAACUUCCCCAAAAUUCAAAUCCUAAAUUAAAUCUUUCUUUUGACCCAAAAUUAACUUUGAGAAUUUCCAGUGGACCCCUGGGAGUUCUCAAAGAAUUUGUUCUCUCUUCUUAUAAAGAGGGAGAUAUUAAACUAGUUAGGCUUAUUUGGUAUGUUAAUUUGCAUGGGAAGCAUUGUCAAAUAUAUGACUAUAAACCCUUUUAGGUUAUACUGCAUGAGUGAGUGUUAUUAAUGUGUUCCAAAAAUUAUAUAAAAUUUCUAAAAAUCUGACAUGUCCUGGUAUAACUCUAGUAAUUAUCUUAAAAUGUGUUACAGAAAUCAUCAAAUUUUGUUCUCAAUUGCAUUGUAAUCAAAUCUUUAUGCCAUUUUAAGUCUUUUGUCAUUUACAACCAAUUAUUGUUUCCUCUGAUGCUUUUGCAAAUGUUUCAUCUUCAGAGAGAUUCAUGGAAAGGACUAUGACAAUCUAGAAAAAACAGAUUUCUGAUAAACUUUUAGAUCAUAAAACUGAAUUGGGCAAGAAAUUAUAGAACUCCAACAGUGAAAUUGAUGGCUUCAGAAAACUGCUAACAAAAGAUCAAGAAAUGAAACCAUUCUGUUUCCUGAAGCCCUGCAAAUGGAACUGAACAACUUGAUAUAAACUUAAGAGAGAUCACCACAAUAGCCCAUGUUUGGACAAUCUUCAUGACUGUUGCUGUGUUUACCAAAACCCGUACAAAUUCAUGUUAUCUCUGUUACAAAAUUUGGCAGCACAAAAUUGACGCAUGACAGUCUGCAGUCUCAUGAAGUUUUUCUAGAGUGGGCCUAUGGAGGACUUGAGUCUACUUCAGAGUGAAUCUGAGAGGUGUUCUGUUUCCAGAAUGAACUAGAAUGCCUGAAUUUGACCAUAAUCAUCAGACUUUAACAGUCUGGAAUGAAGAAUCUACUGAAGUCAAAAUAUUGGAUGUCUAAGAGGUUGCUUCUAUAGAAAAUUAUGAUGAGAUUGAGGACAACAAUAACCACAGUGUGUGAUGGCUGCUUCCACUGAAU